GUGACCAAGCUAUUUUAGCAACUAAUAUGAUCGAGUGGGGUUAUUUCUGAUCCCAUUGACUUUAUAUUAGAAUACGUCUAUAUAAAUGAUUGCUUUAGGGUUCUUCAUAUUUAUUUCACCCUCUAAUAUAUUUAUCCAUCAUCCUUUACAUCCUCACUCUGGGCAUCAAGAAUCAAUCUCAAUGCUUGUGCAGCUGAUCGGAAGGGCACA
This is a long non-coding RNA of Thalassophryne amazonica, 210 nucleotides long. RefSeq lists it as uncharacterized. The transcript has 3 exons. Lineage: Eukaryota; Metazoa; Chordata; Actinopteri; Batrachoidiformes; Batrachoididae. The record is from RefSeq and is a predicted model, not a curated record.